RNAcentral lists this ribosomal RNA (497 nucleotides) under uncultured bacterium. Its description in RNAcentral is "partial 16S ribosomal RNA". It matches the Rfam family "Bacterial small subunit ribosomal RNA", at positions 29 to 507 of the family's 1533-position model. The record is from RNAcentral.
AACGAACGCUGGCGGCGUGCCUAAUACAUGCAAGUCGAGCGAACAGACGAGGAGCUUACUCCUCUGACGUUAGCGGCGGACGGGUGAGUAACACGUGGAUAACCUACCUAUAAGACUGGGAUAACUUCGGGAAACCGGAGCUAAUACCGGAUAACAUGUUGAACCGCAUGGUUCAACAGUGAAAGACGGUCUUGCUGUCACUUAUAGAUGGAUCCGCGUCGCAUUAGCUAGUUGGUAAGGUAACGGCUUACCAAGGCAACGAUGCGUAGCCGACCUGAGAGGGUGAUCGGCCACACUGGAACUGAGACACGGUCCAGACUCCUACGGGAGGCAGCAGUAGGGAAUCUUCCGCAAUGGGCGAAAGCCUGACGGAGCAACGCCGCGUGAGUGAAGAAGGUCUUCGGAUCGUAAAACUCUGUUAUUAGGGAAGAACAAAUGUGUAAGUAACUAUGCACGUCUUGACGGUACCUAAUCAGAAAGCCACGGCUAACUACGUG